RNAcentral lists this ribosomal RNA (447 nucleotides) under uncultured bacterium. RNAcentral describes it as "SSU rRNA". It matches the Rfam family "Bacterial small subunit ribosomal RNA", at positions 26 to 518 of the family's 1533-position model. The record is from RNAcentral.
AGAACGAACGCUGGCGGCAGGCCUCAAACAUGCAAGUCUAGGGGGUGUAGCAAUACAUCACCGGCGGACGGGUGCGUAACACGUGGGAAUGUACCUACUGGUUCGGAACAACGCAGGGAAACUUGCGCUAAUACCGAAUAAGCCCGAAAGGGGAAAGAUUUAUCGCCAGUAGAUCAGCCCGCGUAGGAUUAGCUAGUUGGUGGGGUAAUGGCCCACCAAGGCUCCGAUCCUUAGCUGUUCUGAGAGGAAGAUCAGCCACACUGGGACUGAGACACGGCCCAGACUCCUACGGGAGGCAGCAGUUGGGAAUCUUGGACAAUGGGGGAAACCCUGAUCCAGCCAUGCCGCGUGAGUGAUGAAGGCCUUCGGGUUGUAAACUCUUUCGACGGGGACGAUAAUGACGGUACCCGUAGAAGAAGCUCCGGCUAACUUCGUGCCAGCAGCCGC